UUCAGCGGCGGACGGGUGAGUAACGCGUGAGCAAUCUGUCUCAGACAGGGGGAUAACGCAGCGAAAGUUGCACUAAUACCGCAUGAGACCACAACGCCACAUGGCGAAGGGGUCAAAGGAGCAAUCCGGUCUGAGGUGAGCUCGCGUCCCAUUAGGUAGUUGGUGAGGUAACGGGCCCACCCAAGCCGACGAUGGGUAGCCGACCUGAGAGGGUGAUCGGCCACACUGGAACUGAGACACGGUCCAGACUCCUACGGGAGGCAGCAGUGGGGAAUAUUGGGCAAUGGGCGAAAGCCUGACCCAGCAACGCCGCGUGAGUGAAGAAGGUCUUCGGAUUGUAAAUCUCUGUCCUAAGAGAAGAGGGGAAGACGGUAUCUUAGGAGGAAGCCCCGGCUAACUACGUGCC
RNAcentral lists this ribosomal RNA (406 nucleotides) under uncultured bacterium. RNAcentral describes it as "bacterial SSU rRNA". It matches the Rfam family "Bacterial small subunit ribosomal RNA", at positions 91 to 509 of the family's 1533-position model. The record is from RNAcentral.